AAAAUAAAAACAGAGAACCAUAGAUGCGCAGACCUGAAGAACUUGGUAGGACGAACAUAAAAAUUUAAAAACAAAACCCACCCAACCUCGAUGGUCUUCCCCUAGCAGCUACAGCACCCACCCAGCCUCCCACCCGACACCACCGCAGUUACCUCUGUUCUGUACGGUACCCCACCAUCUCCGUCAGCCAGCCCUCUCAUGUUAUGAGUUGGUUUUUUCUGUCUUUUCUUCUUCCAUAAAAAUAAGGCACAUCAUUGAUUCCUUGGUUCUUUCUUUCAUUGCCCACCGUUUGGCCUUUCUGAUCUCUUCUUUCUUUCUGGGCAUUCAUCUCUAAACCUCAAAUCUCCCAUCUCCAGUCGAUUAUCUUCUUCUUCUUCUUCUCUUCGGAACCCAUCUACCCAAGGAGGAAAACUAGAAGACAAGGAAAAUGAAAAACCCCCCUCAGCCUCAGAAUUUGGAUCCGCUGUGAAUUAUCCAGCCUCGAUCGAAAUUUCAACUUUUCCGAGAGAGAGACUCCUCCAAGGGAAGGGAAAAGAGAGAGAGAGAGAGAGAGAGAUUGAAAUGGCAGCUCUACUGUACCAGAUAUUGUCGUCCUCAGCACUGGUGUCACUGGGACUCUACCACAUGGUGGCCACCACCCGCAACCACCUCAAGUCCCCACAGUCGUACGCCGCCAAGCCCUACCACCCCUUCCCUUUCUCCUCCUCUUCGUCUUCGUCUUCCAAUCAUCAUCGCCUCAGGUACUUGCAGCUCUACGCCGUCAUUGCCUUCCUCAUGGUUGCCGUCGCCCACCAGACCUUCACCUCUUUCGACGCCGAUCCACUCCUCAAGGGCCGUACCCCCGUCCACCGGUUCACCUCUCUGCAGUCCGCAGCCUCCCUCUUCCUGUUUCUGCUGCUUACACUCGCUCUGCUGCUCUCGGAAUGGGCUCCAUCUGUGCUGCCACUGCCCUCCGAUCUCGUCUUUGGCCUGGCCGCCGCCCUCUUCUACCUACAGUGCCUGGUCUCGUGGGGUGCCGCUUCGGUGCAGAUGUCGGAUCUGCAGGCCAAGUGUGACUCGGUGUCGGGUCGGAUCUCGGCGGUGGCAUCAGGGCUGUGCGUGGUGUUGGCAUGCCAGCCGAGGUUGUUUGUGGCAGAUGUGGGAUUGGGGGCGGCCAUGUGCCUGCAGGGGCUGUGGGUGUUGCAGACGGGGCUGUCGCUGUAUGUGGAGGCGUUCAUCCCGGAGGGAUGCCACAGGCUGCUGGAUGUGGUGAGUGGGGUCGAGGGUUCCACCAAGUGCGACCUCGACGAGUCCCGCUUCAGGGCCGUGGCCAUUCUGGAUUUGGUGUUCUUGGUCCAUGUCAUGUUCGUCUUGCUCAUUGUCAUGGUCACCUAUGCCGUCGUUUCCAAGUCUGUUGGCAUCCGCAGAUUGGGUUCUUACGAGGCCUUGCCCAACGCUGCUCCCUCCUCUGACCACAACAACCACAUUCAGAUGAAAGCCUUGAGCGGCACCCAGGCUUAGUUGACAACCACACCCCCACAAUCGACAUUGAGGAGGAGAAUCAGAGAGACUCCUGGUGCAGCUAGAGCAUGGGUAUCAACACUACGCAACACAGUUGGUUUUGAAGGUUAUAAAGAAGCUGUGAAUUCCUUGAGUGGCAAGGCAAUGGUUCUGCGAAACUCGGAAUGCUUACAGCAAUAGUUGCUGCUGCAAAUUCGACUGCUUUGGAGAUGUUUUGUGUAGUUUAGAUUAGUUUGUUAAUGGACUGUCUCUGGUUUCAAUUGUACUCUAUCAGUUCUAAGCUAACUCUGUCAAAAUAACAUUUCAAUAACUUUUUACGGGUAUUCGACUCAAAUAUAGUAGAUGUUGUGGCAAUUGUUGUGACAACCUUAUACAUGUCGUUGUGGUGAUUGUAAUUCACUUGGGGUAGGGUUUAGUGUUGUUAUUCCCACAAUA
Non-coding RNA from Prunus mume (Japanese apricot), 1935 nucleotides. Lineage: Eukaryota; Viridiplantae; Streptophyta; Magnoliopsida; Rosales; Rosaceae. The record is from RefSeq and is a predicted model, not a curated record.